CAAGUACCGUGAGGGAAAGGUGAAAAGAACUGAGGUGAUCAGAGUGAAAUAGAACCUGAAACCAUUUGCUUACAAUCAUUCAGAGCCCUAUGUAGCAAUACAGGGUGAUGGACUGCCUUUUGCAUAAUGAGCCUGCGAGUUGUGGUGUCUGGCAAGGUUAAGCAAACGCGAAGCCGUAGCGAAAGCGAGUCUGAAUAGGGCGCUUAGUCAGAUGCUGCAGACCCGAAACGAAGUGAUCUAUCCAUGAGCAAGUUGAAGCUAGUGUAAGAACUAGUGGAGGACUGAACCCAUAGGCGUUGAAAAGCCCCGGGAUGACUUGUGGAUAGGGGUGAAAGGCCAAUCAAACUUCGUGAUAGCUGGUUCUCUCCGAAAUAUAUUUAGGUAUAGCGUUGUGUCGUAAUAUAAGGGGGUAGAGCACUGAAUGGGCUAGGGCAUACACCAAUGUACCAAACCCUAUCAAACUCCGAAUACCUUAUAUGUAAUCACAGCAGUCAGGCGGCGAGUGAUAAAAUCCGUCGUCAAGAGGGAAACAACCCAGACUACCAGCUAAGGUCCCUAAAUCUUACUUAAGUGGAAAACGAUGUGAAGUUACUUAAACAACCAGGAGGUUGGCUUAGAAGCAGCCAUCCUUUAAAGAAAGCGUAAUAGCUCACUGGUCUAGUGAUUUUGCGCGGAAAAUAUAACGGGGCUAAAGUAAGUACCGAAGCUGUAGACUUGCACACAACUUAGAUUAUUUAAGUUUAGAAUAUGAGAAACUAAGUUAUAUGUUUAGUUAUAUUUUUACUGAUUUUUAUAGAGUAAAGAUAGAAAUAAAACUUAGUAAAAUCAGUAAAAAUAUUCUUAGACUAAAGUUAAGUAGUUUAAGUUGUGUGCAAGUGGUAGGAGAGCGUUCUAUUUGCGUCGAAGGUAUACCGGUAAGGAGUGCUGGAGCGAAUAGAAGUGAGCAUGCAGGCAUGAGUAGCGAUAAUUAAUGUGAGAAUCAUUAACGCCGUAAACCCAAGGUUUCCUACGCGAUGCUCGUCAUCGUAGGGUUAGUCGGGUCCUAAGUCGAGUCCGAAAGGGGUAGACGAUGGCAAAUUGGUUAAUAUUCCAAUACCAACAUUAGUGUGCGAUGGAAGGACGCUUAGGGCUAAGGGGGCUAGCGGAUGGAAGUGCUAGUCUAAGGUCGUAGGAGGUUAUACAGGCAAAUCCGUAUAACAAUACUCCGAGAACUGAAAGGCUUUUUGAAGUCUUCGGAUGGAUAGAAGAACCCCUGAUGCCGUCGAGCCAAGAAAAGUUUCUAAGUUUAGCUAAUGUUGCCCGUACCGUAAACCGACACAGGUGGGUGGGAUGAGUAUUCUAAGGCGCGUGGAAGAACUCUCUUUAAGGAACUCUGCAAAAUAGCACCGUAUCUUCGGUAUAAGGUGUGGUUAGCUUUGUAUUAGGAUUUACUCCGAAAGCAAGGAAACUUACAACAAAGAGUCCCUCCCGACUGUUUACCAAAAACACAGCACUCUGCUAACUCGUAAGAGGAUGUAUAGGGUGUGACGCCUGCCCGGUGCUCGAAGGUUAAUUGAUGGGGUUAGCAUUAGCGAAGCUCUUGAUCGAAGCCCGAGUAAACGGCGGCCGUAACUAUAACGGUCCUAAGGUAGCGAAAUUCCUUGUCGGUUAAAUACCGACCUGCAUGAAUGGCGUAACGAGAUGGGAGCUGUCUCAAAGAGGGAUCCAGUGAAAUUGUAGUGGAGGUGAAAAUUCCUCCUACCCGCGGCAAGACGGAAAGACCCCGUGGACCUUUACUACAGCUUGACACUGCUACUUGGAUAAGAAUGUGCAGGAUAGGUGGGAGGCUUUGAGUAUAUGACGCCAGUUGUAUAUGAGCCAUUGUUGAGAUACCACUCUUUCUUAUUUGGGUAGCUAACCAGCUUGAGUUAUCCUCAAGUGGGACAAUGUCUGGUGGGUAGUUUGACUGGGGCGGUCGCCUCCCAAAUAAUAACGGAGGCUUACAAAGGUUGGCUCAGAACGGUUGGAAAUCGUUCGUAGAGUAUAAAGGUAUAAGCCAGCUUAACUGCAAGACAUACAAGUCAAGCAGAGACGAAAGUCGGUCUUAGUGAUCCGGUGGUUCUGUGUGGAAGGGCCAUCGCUCAAAGGAUAAAAGGUACCCCGGGGAUAACAGGCUGAUCUCCCCCAAGAGCUCACAUCGACGGGGAGGUUUGGCACCUCGAUGUCGGCUCAUCGCAUCCUGGGGCUGGAGCAGGUCCCAAGGGUAUGGCUGUUCGCCAUUUAAAGCGGUACGCGAGCUGGGUUCAGAACGUCGUGAGACAGUUCGGUCCCUAUCUGCCGUGGGCGUAAGAAGAUUGAAGAGAUUUGACCCUAGUACGAGAGGACCGGGUUGAACAAACCACUGGUGUAGCUGUUGUUCUGCCAAGAGCAUCGCAGCGUAGCUAAGUUUGGAAAGGAUAAACGCUGAAAGCAUCUAAGCGUGAAGCCAACUCUAAGAUGAAUCUUCUCUAAGCUCUCUAGAAGACUACUAGUUUGAUAGGCUGGGUGUGUAAUGGAUGAAAGUCCUUUAGCUGACCAGUACUAAUAGAGCGUUUGGCUUAUCUUUAAUAAAGCAU
RNAcentral lists this ribosomal RNA (2594 nucleotides) under Campylobacter jejuni. RNAcentral's name for it is "partial 23S ribosomal RNA". It matches the Rfam family "Bacterial large subunit ribosomal RNA", at positions 495 to 2925 of the family's 2925-position model. Lineage: Bacteria; Pseudomonadati; Campylobacterota; Epsilonproteobacteria; Campylobacterales; Campylobacteraceae. The record is from RNAcentral.